CUUGGUCAUUUAGAGGAAGUAAAAGUCGUAACAAGGUUUCCGUAGGUGAACCUGCGGAAGGAUCAUUAUCGAAUAAACUUGAACAGGCUGUUUGCUGGUCUCUCCUGGGACAUGUGCACGCUUGUCAUCUUUAUCAUUUCUCCAAACCUGUGCACCUCUUGUAGACCUGGAGCUGGAUUUCAUUCGAGUUGCCCCCCUCCUGUGCUUUCACACAAGUCAGCUUUGCCUUGCAUUUCCAUGGUCUAUGUUCACACAAAACCUGUUUUAGAAUGGUUGGCAAAAUGAAAUUAAAGUUAUACAACUUUCAGCAACGGAUCUCUUGGCUCUCGCAUCGAUGAAGAACGCAGCGAAAUGCGAUAAGUAAUGUGAAUUGCAGAAUUCAGUGAAUCAUCGAAUCUUUGAACGCAUCUUGCGCUCCUUGGUAUUCCGAGGAGCAUGCCUGUUUGAGUGUCAUUUUAACUUCUCAAUCAUGUCGAAUUUAUUUUUCGAGGUGGCUUGGAUUGUGGGGGUUUGCGGGCUUCAAUAUGAAGUCGGCUCCUCUGAAAUGCAUUAGUGGUAAUCUGAAGCAGAACUGCUACUAUUAGGUGUGAUAAUUAUCUAUGCCUUUUUGGUGUACUGCAUGAAACAGAUUGUGCUGCUUUCCAACUGUGCACCUUUCUCCUAGGGUGUGUUUUGACAAAUUUGACCUCAAAUCAGGUAGGACUACCCGCUGAACUUAAGCAUAUCAAUAAGCGGGAGGAA
Molecule: ribosomal RNA, 741 nt
Filed under: uncultured Inocybe
Lineage: Eukaryota; Fungi; Basidiomycota; Agaricomycetes; Agaricales; Cortinariaceae
Description: eukaryotic LSU rRNA
Rfam family: 5.8S ribosomal RNA (bases 300-453)
Source: RNAcentral